Molecule: long non-coding RNA, 1146 nt
Filed under: Homo sapiens (human)
Lineage: Eukaryota; Metazoa; Chordata; Mammalia; Primates; Hominidae
Description: p53 upregulated regulator of p53 levels
Source: RNAcentral
GUGUGAGGUGGUGCUAUGUAGCAGGAACCCCUCUUGCUUUGCAAAUAGUUUUUUGUUUGUUUUCCUUUUUGCCCAAUAGAGCCCUGCUCUACUGACCCUUCAAUGUGCCCGUGUGCCUAAAUAUUCCUGGUCGUGUGAAAAGAACCCAGGUAUUAGCUGAACUAAGGAGCACAAUUCUGCAACAUUUUGGCACCCAAACACGGGGCUUGAGAAAUGAAUGCAAUUGGAGAAACUGGUUGUUUUACCAGGCGUUGAUUGGAAAUGUGUGCUUCCCUUUAAGCAGUCAAGCUCAACUUGCAGAACUGAUGGGAACCCCUUGGGAAAACUGGCCUCAAAUGUUUGUCUACACAGUCCACAUACAGGGUUCUUAACCUGCGGUGAGUAAAGAAUGUCACUUUCCAACAGGCCCAGAUAUCAUAUGCUCUUGGGACCUCAAGAAGAGAGGAGUUUACCCAAUUCAUAGGUGUGUGAGGAUAAAAACCUAGGGCUGGGCUCAGCUUUAAAUGGUCUUAUCUGAGAUUCUUUGUGAAACAGAUUUUCAUGAAAGCCAAUCUAGAGGGCCUACGUAGAAAUAAUUGUUUUUGCUGCACUUUAUGCACAUAAUCAAGCCAAUUAUAAGACUAAAGUCUAUAUUGCAAGCAACACACUCCUAUUAUGAUUUGUUUUUAACAGAAAUGAGGACGAGACAGAGAGAAAUUAUGUUUCAAAACUUAUCAUCAUUAGUUUCUAGACUUAUUAUUUCUUUUUAAGUUUUUACCUACAUUUUAGACUGACCCUGCUUGUGCCUGUGAACCAACCAACAAUCUCUGGCUGCAGCUCAGAAAGGACAAAAGAGAAUGGAUGAGGGAAACUUCCCAGGGCUUGUCUGGGUAUGCCCACAGUGGACUGGAGCCCAAAAUGCACACUGGAGGAAGUGGAUGGAGCCACGUGGAUGUCAUGCCUUAUGCAGGGGAGGAGCCUGCUCUCUUCAGCUCCUGUGGUAAUGUGGGAAUCGAUCUGUGAGAUUCCAUGAACUCCAAGUUAAGAACACAUGAUCUGGAUGUUUGACAAAAUACCUUCAGCAGGAAUAAUGAAAGCCCUGACAUUUCUGUGUGCAUAAAAACUGGAAAACUUUAAAAGUAAUAAAUCACCAAGUCUUUAUAAAAA